UACGUAGGGGGCAAGCGUUGUCCGGAAUCAUUGGGCGUAAAGAGCGCGUAGGCGGUCCGGUAAGUCCGCUCUGAAAGUCCGGGGCUCAACCCCGGGAGGCGGGCGGAUACUGUCGGGCUAGAGUCCGGAAGAGGCGAGUGGAAUUCCUGGUGUAGCGGUGAAAUGCGCAGAUAUCGGGAGGAACACCAAUGGCGAAGGCAGCUCGCUGGGACGGUACUGACGCUGAGACGCGAAAGCGUGGGGAGCAAACAGG
Molecule: ribosomal RNA, 253 nt
Filed under: uncultured bacterium
Lineage: Bacteria
Description: partial 16S ribosomal RNA
Rfam family: Bacterial small subunit ribosomal RNA
Source: RNAcentral